Molecule: ribosomal RNA, 73 nt
Filed under: Massilia aurea
Lineage: Bacteria; Pseudomonadati; Pseudomonadota; Betaproteobacteria; Burkholderiales; Oxalobacteraceae
Description: partial 23S ribosomal RNA
Rfam family: Bacterial large subunit ribosomal RNA
Source: RNAcentral
UUGAUAGGCUGGGUGUGGAAGUGCAGUAAUGCAUUAAGCUAACCAGUACUAAUUGCCCGUACGGCUUGUCCCU